CUUUCAGAGUCGCAAAAAUUGAGACAAAAUAAGAAAAAAAGCUGCCACAAAAUAUUCAAAUCUCCGACAAGUAUGGCAAUAAAAAGAUGUGGAGUUUGCGACGAAGCACAAUCCAAAUAUAAAUGUCCUACCUGCCUUAUACCCUAGUAAGCUUUUCUUUCUGUGUAAAUUUUGUAUUAGAUUUUCUGAAAUUUUUUUAUCUUGAAAUUGACUGAUUAAUUUCGGUUGGAUUUUAUUUUUCCACUCGCAGUUGUUCGUUGAUAUGUUUUAAGAAACACAAAGGUAGAUAUACUAGCUCUGUCCGUCUGUUU
This 311-nucleotide long non-coding RNA is filed under the name Olea europaea subsp. europaea. The record is from RNAcentral. Lineage: Eukaryota; Viridiplantae; Streptophyta; Magnoliopsida; Lamiales; Oleaceae.